This 125-nucleotide small RNA is filed under the name Marmota monax (woodchuck). Lineage: Eukaryota; Metazoa; Chordata; Mammalia; Rodentia; Sciuridae. The record is from RNAcentral.
ACUGGGUGUGGUGGUGCACGCCUGUAAUCCCAGUGGCUUGGGAAGCUGAGACAGGAGGAUCAUGAGUUCAAAGCCAGCCUCAGCAACCGUGAGGCGCUACGCAACUCAGUGAGACCCUGUCUCUA